RNAcentral lists this ribosomal RNA (551 nucleotides) under uncultured bacterium. RNAcentral's name for it is "bacterial SSU rRNA". It matches the Rfam family "Bacterial small subunit ribosomal RNA", at positions 94 to 640 of the family's 1533-position model. The record is from RNAcentral.
AGCGGCGGACGGGUGAGUAAUGCUUAGGAAUCUGCCUAUUAGUGGGGGACAACAUUCCGAAAGGAAUGCUAAUACCGCAUACGUCCUACGGGAGAAAGCAGGGGAUCUUCGGACCUUGCGCUAAUAGAUGAGCCUAAGUCGGAUUAGCUAGUUGGUGGGGUAAAGGCCUACCAAGGCGACGAUCUGUAGCGGGUCUGAGAGGAUGAUCCGCCACACUGGGACUGAGACACGGCCCAGACUCCUACGGGAGGCAGCAGUGGGGAAUAUUGGACAAUGGGGGGAACCCUGAUCCAGCCAUGCCGCGUGUGUGAAGAAGGCCUUAUGGUUGUAAAGCACUUUAAGCGAGGAGGAGGCUACUGAGACUAAUACUCUUGGAUAGUGGACGUUACUCGCAGAAUAAGCACCGGCUAACUCUGUGCCAGCAGCCGCGGUAAUGCAGAGGGUGCGAGCGUUAAUCGGAUUUACUGGGCGUAAAGCGUGCGUAGGCGGCUUUUUAAGUCGGAUGUGAAAUCCCCGAGCUUAACUUGGGAAUUGCAUUCGAUACUGGGAAG